This 505-nucleotide unclassified non-coding RNA is filed under the name Hevea brasiliensis (rubber tree). Lineage: Eukaryota; Viridiplantae; Streptophyta; Magnoliopsida; Malpighiales; Euphorbiaceae. The record is from RNAcentral.
UUGUGCUAUAUUCAGAUAUAGGUAUCCCGAGUGGUCUUCAUGUCUCUCUGCCCAAUGAUGGACAAUGAAAGUUAGUGGAAUGGUUGCUAGGUUGUUCACUGGGGGCAUUUUUUGCCAUCUUUACCUUACUAUCAGCAUUACUAUAACCUCUCUCUCUCUCUUUUUAUCUAUCUAUCUAUCUAUCUGUAAGGAGCCGCAAAGGUUUUGUUUUCUUAAUUGUCUAGUAAACUGCUCGGUGAUGAUAACUCAUUACACAGAGUGGUGACAUUGUUUUUCAGUGCAAGCCUCCGCUAUCUCUUGCUGCCCCUCUUAUCAUUUGGCUGGAGCUAAUUCAGCAUCUUCUUUUUCUUCUUCUUCUUUUUAUUGUUAUUAUUAUUAUUAUUAUUGGUGGCGGUGGUGGUGGUGGUGGUGUUUCCAUUAUCAUUUUGAGAGGCGAGGAGGCUUUAAAUGAAAAACAAAGGCUUCACCAACUAUGAUUUGUUAUAGCUAUGAGAUCUGAGGGCAG